UGAAUGUGGAGGUCUGUUCACUGGAAGAGGCUGAAUGUGGAGGUCUGUUCACUGGAAGAGGCUGAAUGUGGAGGUCUGUUCACUGGAAGAGGCUGAAUGUGGAGGUAUGGUCACUGGAAGAGGCUGAAUGUGGAGGUCUGGUCACUGGAAGAGGCUGAAUGUGGAGGUCUGGUCACUGGAAGAGACUGAAUGUGGAGGUCUGGUCACUGGAAGAGGCUGAAUGUGGAGGUCUGGUCACUGGAAGAGGCUGAAUGUGGAGGUCUGGUCACUGGAAGAGGCUGAAUGUGGUCUGGUCACUGGAAGAGGCUGAAUGUGGAGGUCUGGUCACUGGAAGAGGCUGAAUGUGGAGGUCUGGUCACUGGAAGAGGCUGAAUGUGGAGGUCUGGUCACUGGAAGAGGCUGAAUGUGGUCUGUUCACUGGAAGAGGCUGAAUGUGGAGGUCUGGUCACUGGAAGAGGCUGAAUGUGGAGGUCUGGUCACUGGAAGAGGCUGAAUGUGGAGGUCUGGUCACUGGAAGAGGCUGAAUGUGGAG
This 532-nucleotide long non-coding RNA is filed under the name Salmo salar (Atlantic salmon). Its description in RNAcentral is "lncRNA (ENSSSAG00000118255.1)". Lineage: Eukaryota; Metazoa; Chordata; Actinopteri; Salmoniformes; Salmonidae. The record is from RNAcentral.